UACGUAGGUGGCAAGCGUUGUCCGGAUUUACUGGGCGUAAAGGGCGUGCAGGCGGUUCGUUAAGUGCAGGGUGAAAGCUCCCGGCUCAACUGGGAGAGGUCCUUGCAUACUGGCGAACUCGAGGGAGGCAGAGGAAAGUGGAAUUCCCGGUGUAGUGGUGAUAUGCGUAGAUAUCGGGAGGAACACCUGUGGCGAAGGCGGCUUUCUGGUCCGGUUCUGACGCUGAGGCGCGAAAGCGUGGGGAGCAAACAGG
This 253-nucleotide ribosomal RNA is filed under the name uncultured bacterium. Its description in RNAcentral is "partial 16S ribosomal RNA". It matches the Rfam family "Bacterial small subunit ribosomal RNA", at positions 524 to 776 of the family's 1533-position model. The record is from RNAcentral.